Molecule: ribosomal RNA, 213 nt
Filed under: Enterobacter hormaechei
Lineage: Bacteria; Pseudomonadati; Pseudomonadota; Gammaproteobacteria; Enterobacterales; Enterobacteriaceae
Description: partial 16S ribosomal RNA
Rfam family: Bacterial small subunit ribosomal RNA
Source: RNAcentral
AAAUUGAAGAGUUUGAUCAUGGCUCAGAUUGAACGCUGGCGGCAGGCCUAACACAUGCAAGUCGAGCGGUAACACAGAGAGCUUGCUCUCGGGUGACGAGCGGCGGACGGGUGAGUAAUGUCUGGGAAACUGCCUGAUGGAGGGGGAUAACUACUGGAAACGGUAGCUAAUACCGCAUAACGUCGCAAGACCAAAGAGGGGGACCUUCGGGCC